GACGAACGCUGGCGGCGUGCUUAACACAUGCAAGUCGAACGGAAAGGCCCUGCUUUUGUGGGGUGCUCGAGUGGCGAACGGGUGAGUAACACGUGAGUAACCUGCCCUUGACUUUGGGAUAACUUCAGGAAACUGGGGCUAAUACCGGAUAGGAGCUCCUGCUGCAUGGUGGGGGUUGGAAAUUUUCGGCGGUUGGGGAUGGACUCGCGGUUUAUCAGCUUGUUGGUGGGGUAGUGGCUUACCAAGGCUUUGACGGGUAGCCGGCCUGAGAGGGUGACCGGCCACAUUGGGACUGAGAUACGGCCCAGACUCCUACGGGAGGCAGCAGUGGGGAAUAUUGCACAAUGGGCGGAAGCCUGAUGCAGCAACGCCGGGUGCGGGAUGACGGCCUUCGGGUUGUAAACCGCUUUCGCCUGUGACGAAGCGUGAGUGACGGUAAUGGGUAAAGAAGCACCGGCUAACUACGUG
RNAcentral lists this ribosomal RNA (468 nucleotides) under uncultured bacterium. RNAcentral describes it as "partial 16S ribosomal RNA". It matches the Rfam family "Bacterial small subunit ribosomal RNA", at positions 28 to 507 of the family's 1533-position model. The record is from RNAcentral.